AGUCAGGAUGGCCGAGUGGUCUAAGGCGCCAGACUCAAGUUCUGGUCUUCGAGAGAGGGCGUGGGUUCAAAUCCCACUUCUGACAU
This 86-nucleotide transfer RNA is filed under the name Medicago truncatula (barrel medic). Its description in RNAcentral is "tRNA gene1090". It matches the Rfam family "tRNA". Rfam says of the family: Transfer RNA (tRNA) molecules are approximately 80 nucleotides in length. RNAcentral also lists the same sequence under 3 other names. The record is from RNAcentral. Lineage: Eukaryota; Viridiplantae; Streptophyta; Magnoliopsida; Fabales; Fabaceae.